This is a long non-coding RNA of Cervus elaphus (red deer), 387 nucleotides long. RefSeq lists it as uncharacterized. The record is from RefSeq and is a predicted model, not a curated record. The transcript has 3 exons. NCBI's taxonomy places the organism in Eukaryota, Metazoa, Chordata, Mammalia, Artiodactyla, Cervidae.
GCGCCAUUCCAUCGUUACAAUGGUGGAGUUGGUAGGUGUGCACAGGCCAGACAAUGGGGCUGGAUGCAGGGCCGGUGGCCCAAAAAGAGUGCUGAAUUUUCACUACACAUGCUCAAAAAUGCAGAGAGUAAUGCUGAACUUAAGGGCUUAGAUGUAGAUUCUCUGGUCAUUGAGCACAUCCCAGUGAACAAAGCCCCCAAGAUGCGGCGCAGGACUUACAGAGCUCACGGUCGGAUCAACCCCUACAUGAGCUCUUCCUGCCACAUUGAGAUGAUCCUUACUGAAAAAGAACAGAUUGUCCUAAACCAGAAGAGGAGGUUGCACAGAAGAAAAAGAUAUCCCAGAAGAAACUGAAGAAACAAAAACUUAUGCCAGAAGAAACUGAAG